GGGUUGUGAGGUUAAGCGACUAAGCGUACACGGUGGAUGCCCUGGCAGUCAGAGGCGAUGAAGGACGUGCUAAUCUGCGAUAAGCGUCGGUAAGGUGAUAUGAACCGUUAUAACCGGCGAUUUCCGAAUGGGGAAACCCAGUGUGAUUCGUCACACUAUCAUUAACUGAAUCCAUAGGUUAAUGAGGCGAACCGGGGGAACUGAAACAUCUAAGUACCCCGAGGAAAAGAAAUCAACCGAGAUUCCCCCAGUAGCGGCGAGCGAACGGGGAGCAGCCCAGAGCCUGAAUCAGUGUGUGUGUUAGUGGAAGCGUCUGGAAAGGCGUGCGAUACAGGGUGACAGCCCCGUACACAAAAAUGCACAUAUUGUGAGCUCGAUGAGUAGGGCGGGACACGUGGUAUCCUGUCUGAAUAUGGGGGGACCAUCCUCCAAGGCUAAAUACUCCUGACUGACCGAUAGUGAACCAGUACCGUGAGGGAAAGGCGAAAAGAACCCCGGCGAGGGGAGUGAAAAAGAACCUGAAACCGUGUACGUACAAGCAGUGGGAGCACGCUUAGGCGUGUGACUGCGUACCUUUUGUAUAAUGGGUCAGCGACUUAUAUUCUGUAGCAAGGUUAACCGAAUAGGGGAGCCGAAGGGAAACCGAGUCUUAACUGGGCGUUAAGUUGCAGGGUAUAGACCCGAAACCCGGUGAUCUAGCCAUGGGCAGGUUGAAGGUUGGGUAACACUAACUGGAGGACCGAACCGACUAAUGUUGAAAAAUUAGCGGAUGACUUGUGGCUGGGGGUGAAAGGCCAAUCAAACCGGGAGAUAGCUGGUUCUCCCCGAAAGCUAUUUAGGUAGCGCCUCGUGAAUUCAUCUCCGGGGGUAGAGCACUGUUUCGGCAAGGGGGUCAUCCCGACUUACCAACCCGAUGCAAACUGCGAAUACCGGAGAAUGUUAUCACGGGAGACACACGGCGGGUGCUAACGUCCGUCGUGAAGAGGGAAACAACCCAGACCGCCAGCUAAGGUCCCAAAGUCAUGGUUAAGUGGGAAACGAUGUGGGAAGGCCCAGACAGCCAGGAUGUUGGCUUAGAAGCAGCCAUCAUUUAAAGAAAGCGUAAUAGCUCACUGGUCGAGUCGGCCUGCGCGGAAGAUGUAACGGGGCUAAACCAUGCACCGAAGCUGCGGCAGCGACACUAUGUGUUGUUGGGUAGGGGAGCGUUCUGUAAGCCUGUGAAGGUGUACUGUGAGGUAUGCUGGAGGUAUCAGAAGUGCGAAUGCUGACAUAAGUAACGAUAAAGCGGGUGAAAAGCCCGCUCGCCGGAAGACCAAGGGUUCCUGUCCAACGUUAAUCGGGGCAGGGUGAGUCGACUCCUAAGGCGAGGCCGAAAGGCGUAGUCGAUGGGAAACAGGUUAAUAUUCCUGUACUUGGUGUUACUGCGAAGGGGGGACGGAGAAGGCUAUGUUGGCCGGGCGACGGUUGUCCCGGUUUAAGCGUGUAGGCUGGUUUUCCAGGCAAAUCCGGAAAACUAAGGCUGAGGCGUGAUGACGAGGCACUACGGUGCUGAAGCAACAAAUGCCCUGCUUCCAGGAAAAGCCUCUAAGCAUCAGGUAACAUCAAAUCGUACCCCAAACCGACACAGGUGGUCAGGUAGAGAAUACCAAGGCGCUUGAGAGAACUCGGGUGAAGGAACUAGGCAAAAUGGUGCCGUAACUUCGGGAGAAGGCACGCUGAUAUGUAGGUGAAGUCCCUCGCGGAUGGAGCUGAAAUCAGUCGAAGAUACCAGCUGGCUGCAACUGUUUAUUAAAAACACAGCACUGUGCAAACACGAAAGUGGACGUAUACGGUGUGACGCCUGCCCGGUGCCGGAAGGUUAAUUGAUGGGGUCAGCGCAAGCGAAGCUCUUGAUCGAAGCCCCGGUAAACGGCGGCCGUAACUAUAACGGUCCUAAGGUAGCGAAAUUCCUUGUCGGGUAAGUUCCGACCUGCACGAAUGGCGUAAUGAUGGCCAGGCUGUCUCCACCCGAGACUCAGUGAAAUUGAACUCGCUGUGAAGAUGCAGUGUACCCGCGGCAAGACGGAAAGACCCCGUGAACCUUUACUAUAGCUUGACACUGAACAUUGAGCCUUGAUGUGUAGGAUAGGUGGGAGGCUUUGAAGUGUGGACGCCAGUCUGCAUGGAGCCGACCUUGAAAUACCACCCUUUAAUGUUUGAUGUUCUAACGUUGACCCGUAAUCCGGGUUGCGGACAGUGUCUGGUGGGUAGUUUGACUGGGGCGGUCUCCUCCUAAAGAGUAACGGAGGAGCACGAAGGUUGGCUAAUCCUGGUCGGACAUCAGGAGGUUAGUGCAAUGGCAUAAGCCAGCUUGACUGCGAGCGUGACGGCGCGAGCAGGUGCGAAAGCAGGUCAUAGUGAUCCGGUGGUUCUGAAUGGAAGGGCCAUCGCUCAACGGAUAAAAGGUACUCCGGGGAUAACAGGCUGAUACCGCCCAAGAGUUCAUAUCGACGGCGGUGUUUGGCACCUCGAUGUCGGCUCAUCACAUCCUGGGGCUGAAGUAGGUCCCAAGGGUAUGGCUGUUCGCCAUUUAAAGUGGUACGCGAGCUGGGUUUAGAACGUCGUGAGACAGUUCGGUCCCUAUCUGCCGUGGGCGCUGGAGAACUGAGGGGGGCUGCUCCUAGUACGAGAGGACCGGAGUGGACGCAUCACUGGUGUUCGGGUUGUCAUGCCAAUGGCACUGCCCGGUAGCUAAAUGCGGAAGAGAUAAGUGCUGAAAGCAUCUAAGCACGAAACUUGCCCCGAGAUGAGUUCUCCCUGACUCCUUGAGAGUCCUGAAGGAACGUUGAAGACGACGACGUUGAUAGGCCGGGUGUGUAAGCGCAGCGAUGCGUUGAGCUAACCGGUACUAAUGAACCGUGAGGCUUAACCUUACAACGCCGAAGGUGUUU
Molecule: ribosomal RNA, 2930 nt
Filed under: Shigella dysenteriae
Lineage: Bacteria; Pseudomonadati; Pseudomonadota; Gammaproteobacteria; Enterobacterales; Enterobacteriaceae
Also listed under: 5 other names
Description: bacterial LSU rRNA
Rfam family: Bacterial large subunit ribosomal RNA
Source: RNAcentral